GCGGGUGUAGUUCAAUGGUAGAACAUUAGCUUCCCAAGCUAACAGCGGCGGUUCGAUUCCGCUCACCCGCU
This 71-nucleotide transfer RNA is filed under the name Candidatus Omnitrophota bacterium. Its description in RNAcentral is "Candidatus Omnitrophica bacterium tRNA-Gly". It matches the Rfam family "tRNA". From Rfam's summary of the family: Transfer RNA (tRNA) molecules are approximately 80 nucleotides in length. Their secondary structure includes four short double-helical elements and three loops (D, anti-codon, and T loops). Lineage: Bacteria; Pseudomonadati; Candidatus Omnitrophota. The record is from RNAcentral.